CCUACGGGCGGCUGCAGUGGGGAAUAUUGGACAAUGGGCGAAAGCCUGAUCCAGCCAUGCCGCGUGUGUGAAGAAGGCCUUCGGGUUGUAAAGCACUUUCAGUGGGGAAGAAAGCCUUGGGGCUAAUACCCUCGAGGAAGGACAUCACCCACAGAAGAAGCACCGGCUAACUCCGUGCCAGCAGCCGCGGUAAUACGGAGGGUGCGAGCGUUAAUCGGAAUUACUGGGCGUAAAGCGCGCGUAGGCGGUCUGAUAAGCCGGUUGUGAAAGCCCCGGGCUCAACCUGGGAACGGCAUCCGGAACUGUCAGGCUAGGGGGCAGGAGAGGAGGGAAGAAUCCCCGGGGUAGGGGGGAAAGGCGUAGAGGUCGGGAGGAAUACCGGGGGCGAAGGCGGCCUCUGGAACUGACCCUGCCGCGGGGGUGCGAAAGCGUGGGUAGCAAACGGGAUUAGAAACCCCGGAGUC
Molecule: ribosomal RNA, 464 nt
Filed under: Vreelandella stevensii
Lineage: Bacteria; Pseudomonadati; Pseudomonadota; Gammaproteobacteria; Oceanospirillales; Halomonadaceae
Description: partial 16S ribosomal RNA
Rfam family: Bacterial small subunit ribosomal RNA
Source: RNAcentral